This 491-nucleotide ribosomal RNA is filed under the name uncultured bacterium. RNAcentral's name for it is "partial 16S ribosomal RNA". It matches the Rfam family "Bacterial small subunit ribosomal RNA", at positions 28 to 507 of the family's 1533-position model. The record is from RNAcentral.
GAUGAACGCUAGCUACAGGCUUAACACAUGCAAGUCGAGGGGAAACGACAUUGAAGCUUGCUUCGAUGGUCGUCGACCGGCGCACGGGUGAGUAACGCGUAUCCAACCUGCCUCUGACCAAGGGAUAACCCGUCGAAAGUCGGCCUAAUACCUUAUGCAGUCGUCGGAAGUCAUCUGAUGACGACGAAAGAUUUCAUCGGUGAGAGAUGGGGAUGCGUCUGAUUAGCUUGUUGGCGGGGUAACGGCCCACCAAGGCAACGAUCAGUAGGGGUUCUGAGAGGAAGGUCCCCCACAGUGGAACUGAGACACGGUCCAAACUCCUACGGGAGGCAGCAGUGAGGAAUAUUGGUCAAUGGGCGAGAGCCUGAACCAGCCAAGUAGCGUGCAGGAUGACGGCCCUAUGGGUUGUAAACUGCUUUUAUGCGGGGAUAAAGUGAGGGACGUGUCCUUCAUUGCAGGUACCGCAUGAAUAAGGACCGGCUAAUUCCGUG